GGCAGAGUGCACCAUCCACACACACUCAAAAUCAAGUCACAUUAUUAUUAUUUUUUAUCAGGUCACAUUAUUAAGUCACUGGGCAAUCCAUAGUGACUAGGACACUCUCAGUCUUCUCUCUGGCUUCCUGUUUGCCACAGCUGCAGGGUGGUGGUAGGGAGCUGAAUCUCAGUAAGAAUAUAGCGCUUGCCUCCCCUCUCAUUCUCAGCCCUCCUCCUGGGUUUCAUUUCAUUGAAGGUUGUGAAGUGUGCAGGGUGUAAGGGGUCCGGAGGGAUCUGCCCUCAGGGAUGGACCUUAAGACAUGAGCUUUCAUUCUUCUUUUCUGAGCUUUUCACUGUUUUUCUUCACCUCCUGCCCCCAAGAACAACUACCAAAAACUCUGGUAGUGAUGAACCCAUCAAGAAAAAAAGAUGCUCUGAAGAUGGCCUCACCAAUCAGGCACCUGUCUGCCCUGAGCGUAAGGCGGUCGAUCUAUCAAGUUGGACUCCCCCACCUCGUCUCCGGCAUGCAGCGCAUUUCAGGGAGCAAACUGCUUGCUUGUUUGAGUCUCAGAUCAUCUUUAGCUAUUGAUAGAAACUGGAACCAAAUUGGUCGAUGUUCUCCACUUCUUUCCCAGUAGGAAUCUUGCUUUCGAUUCAAGUUGUCAAUCAUUUCUCAAAACCUACUCUUUAUUUAUACAUCUGUUUAUUUAUAGCCCAUCUUGUCGCACAGAAGUCGAGGUAAAUUAAAGGAAACGUAAAAUAGUAAAA
This 749-nucleotide long non-coding RNA is filed under the name Rattus norvegicus (Norway rat). RNAcentral's name for it is "long non-coding RNA NONRATT003689". The record is from RNAcentral. Lineage: Eukaryota; Metazoa; Chordata; Mammalia; Rodentia; Muridae.